AGAGUUUGAUCAUGGCUCAGAUUGAACGCUGGCGGAAUGCUUUACACAUGCAAGUCGAACGGCAGCACGGGAGCUUGCUCCUGGUGGCGAGUGGCGAACGGGUGAGUAAUACAUCGGAACGUACCCAGACGUGGGGGAUAACGUAGCGAAAGUUACGCUAAUACCGCAUACGUCCUGAGGGAGAAAGCGGGGGAUCGCAAGACCUCGCGCGUUUGGAGCGGCCGAUGGCAGAUUAGCUAGUUGGUGGGGUAAAGGCCUACCAAGGCGACGAUCUGUAGCGGGUCUGAGAGGACGACCCGCCACACUGGAACUGAGACACGGUCCAGACUCCUACGGGAGGCAGCAGUGGGGAAUUUUGGACAAUGGGCGAAAGCCUGAUCCAGCCAUUCCGCGUGAGUGAAGAAGGCCUUCGGGUUGUAAAGCUCUUUCGGCAGGGAAGAAACGGUUACCCCGAAUACGGGUGAUUAAUGACGGUACCUGAAGAAGAAGCACCGGCUAACUACGUGCCAGCAGCCGCGGUAAUACGUAGGGUGCGAGCGUUAAUCGGAAUUACUGGGCGUAAAGCGUGCGCAGGCGGUUUUGUAAGACAGAUGUGAAAUCCCCGGGCUCAACCUGGGAACUGCGUUUGUGACUGCAAGACUCGAGUACGGCAGAGGGGGGUAGAAUUCCACGUGUAGCAGUGAAAUGCGUAGAGAUGUGG
RNAcentral lists this ribosomal RNA (700 nucleotides) under uncultured bacterium. RNAcentral describes it as "bacterial SSU rRNA". It matches the Rfam family "Bacterial small subunit ribosomal RNA", at positions 8 to 701 of the family's 1533-position model. The record is from RNAcentral.